This 465-nucleotide ribosomal RNA is filed under the name uncultured bacterium. Its description in RNAcentral is "partial 16S ribosomal RNA". It matches the Rfam family "Bacterial small subunit ribosomal RNA", at positions 28 to 507 of the family's 1533-position model. The record is from RNAcentral.
GAUGAACGCUGGCGGCGUGCUUAACACAUGCAAGUCGAACGGAAAGGCUCCUGCUUGCAGGGGUACUCGAGUGGCGAACGGGUGAGUAACACGUGGGUAAUCUACCCUGCACUUCGGGAUAGGCUUGGGAAACUGGGUCUAAUACCGGAUAGGAUCCCAUUUUGGAUGGUGAGCUGGAAAGCUUUUCGGUGUGGGAUGGGCUCGGGGCCUAUCAGCUUGUUGGUGGGGUACUGGCUUAAGAAGGCGUCGACGGGUAGCCGGCCUGAGAGGGUGUACGGCCACAUUGGGACUGAGGUACGGCCCAGACGCGAACGGGAGGCAAGGGGGGGGAGGAUGACACAAUAGGAGCAAGCCUGAUGCGGCGACGCCGCGUGGGGGAAGACGGGCUGUGGGUAGUGAACUCCAGCCGCUUGAGACGAAGCGGUAGUGACGGUACCUGGAGAAGAAGCACCGGCUAACUACGUG